RNAcentral lists this ribosomal RNA (521 nucleotides) under uncultured Planctomycetota bacterium. RNAcentral describes it as "bacterial SSU rRNA". It matches the Rfam family "Bacterial small subunit ribosomal RNA", at positions 376 to 896 of the family's 1533-position model. The record is from RNAcentral. Lineage: Bacteria; Pseudomonadati; Planctomycetota.
CGGAAAGCCUGACCGAGCGACGCCGCGUGCGGGAUGAAGGCCUUCGGGUUGUAAACCGCUGUCGUAGGGGAGGAAGCGACCGUGAAGAACGGAAGUUGACCGAUCCUAGGAGGAAGCGCCGGCUAAUCUCGUGCCAGCAGCCGCGGUAAUACGAGAGGCGCAAACGUUAUUCGGAAUUACUGGGCUUAAAGAGUUCGUAGGCGGCGCAGAAAGUAGGGUGUGAAAGCCCUCGGCUCAACCGAGGAAUUGCGCUCUAAACUACUGUGCUUGAGGGACCUAGAGGUGAGCGGAACUGAUGGUGGAGCGGUGAAAUGCGUUGAUAUCAUCAGGAACACCGGAGGCGAAGGCGGCUCACUGGGGGUCUUCUGACGCUGAGGAACGAAAGCCAGGGGAGCGAACGGGAUUAGAUACCCCGGUAGUCCUGGCCGUAAACGAUGAGCACUAGGCCGGAGCCCUGCACAGGGUUUCGGCCGUAGCUAAAGUGUUAAGUGCUCCGCCUGGGGAGUAUGGUCGCAAGGCUG